Molecule: ribosomal RNA, 430 nt
Filed under: Pseudomonadota bacterium
Lineage: Bacteria; Pseudomonadati; Pseudomonadota
Description: Proteobacteria bacterium partial 16S ribosomal RNA
Rfam family: Bacterial small subunit ribosomal RNA
Source: RNAcentral
UGGGGAAUAUUGGACAAUGGGGGGAACCAUGAUCCAGCCAUGCCGCGUGUGUGAAGAAGGCCUUAUGGUUGUAAAGCACUUUAAGCGAGGAGGAGGGUACUGGUAUUAAUACUACCAGGUACUGGACGUUACUCGCAGAAUAAGCACCGGCUAACUCUGUGCCAGCAGCCGCGGUAAUACAGAGGGUGCGAGCGUUAAUCGGAUUUACUGGGCGUAAAGCGUGCGUAGGCGGCUAAUUGAGUCGGAUGUGAAAUCCCCGAGCUUAACUUGGGAAUUGCAGUCGAUACUGGUUAGCUAGAGUGUGGGAGAGGAUGGUAGAAGUCCAGGUGUAGCGGUGAAAUGCGUAGAGAUCUGGAGGAAUACCGAUGGCGAAGGCAGCCAUCUGGCCUAACACUGACGCUGAGGUACGAAAGCAUGGGGAGCAAACAGG